GAUGAAGAACGUAGCAAAAUGCGAUACUUGGUGUGAAUUGCAGAAUCCCGUGAACCAUCGAGUUUUUGAACGCAAGUUGCGCCCGAAGCCUUUUGGCCGAGGGCACGUCUGCCUGGGCGUCACGCAUCGCGUCGCCCCCCACAAUUCUCCGUAAAAGGAACAUGUGUUUUGGGGGCGGAUAUUGGUCUCCCGUGCUCAUGGCGUGGUUGGCCGAAAUAGGAGUCCUUUCGAUGGACGCACGAACUAGUGGUGGUCGUAAAAACCCUCGUCUUUUGUUUCGUGCUGUUGCUCGCAAGGUAAACUCUUUAAAAACCCCAAUGUGUCGUCUCUUGACGACGCUUCGACCGCGACCCCAGGUCAGGCGGGACUACCCGCUGAGUUUAAGCAUAUCAAUAAGCGGAGGA
Molecule: unclassified non-coding RNA, 404 nt
Filed under: soil metagenome
Description: partial contains 5.8S ribosomal RNA, internal transcribed spacer 2, and large subunit ribosomal RNA
Rfam family: 5.8S ribosomal RNA (bases 1-122)
Source: RNAcentral